GANGCCCAGUGGAGGCCACACGCUGGCUGUUGUUCACUCCUCCUGCUGCACCUCUGGGAAGGUCUGAGACAGGGGCCACGUACCAUCCUAGCAGGAUGCUGCUUCUUGGAGGCAGGUGAGUUCCCAACAAUCUGGGUCUCCAGCACAGCCUGAGAUUGGGGCAGGAGAAGCGGCGGAGAAGUUUGUUCCCCUCCACGCAGAUGCCUCUGUGGCGUGAUGGAGAUUUGGGAAUGACUCACGGCCGGCAGCUAUGAGUACAAUGAGCGGACGUGAAGCAGCAUUGGAUGCCCGGUUUAGAAUCNUAGAAUNAUAGAGUUGGAAGGGACCUCCAGGGUCAUCGCNUCCAACCCCCUGCUCCAUGCANGAUUCACUAAACCAUC
This 380-nucleotide long non-coding RNA is filed under the name Salvator merianae (Argentine black and white tegu). RNAcentral describes it as "Nuclear RNase P (ENSSMRG00000009412.1)". The stretch from base 11 to 298 matches the Rfam family "Nuclear RNase P", at positions 20 to 286 of the family's 301-position model. Rfam says of the family: Ribonuclease P (RNase P) is a ubiquitous endoribonuclease, found in archaea, bacteria and eukarya as well as chloroplasts and mitochondria. Its best characterised activity is the generation of mature 5'-ends of tRNAs by cleaving the 5'-leader elements of precursor-tRNAs. Cellular RNase Ps are ribonucleoproteins. Lineage: Eukaryota; Metazoa; Chordata; Lepidosauria; Squamata; Teiidae. The record is from RNAcentral.